GUUGAACGCUGGCGGAAUGCUUUACACAUGCAAGUCGAACGGCAGCACGGGGGCAACCCUGGUGGCGAGUGGCGAACGGGUGAGUAAUACAUCGGAACGUGCCCAGUCGUGGGGGAUAACGUAGCGAAAGUUACGCUAAUACCGCAUACGAUCUACGAAUGAAAGCGGGGGACCGUAAGGCCUCGCGCGAUUGGAGCGGCCGAUGGGAGAUUAGGUAGUUGGUGCGGUAAAGGCUCACCAAGCCGACGAUCUGUAGGUGGUCUGAGAGGACGACCAGCCACACUGGGACUGAGACACGGCCCAGACUCCUACGGGAGGCAGCAGUGGGGAAUUUUGGACAAUGGGCGCAAGCCUGAUCCAGCCAUUCCGCGUGCAGGACGAAGGCCUUCGGGUUGUAAACUGCUUUUGUACGGAACGAAAAGGCUCUGGUUAAUACCUGGGGCUCAUGACGGUACCGUAAGAAUAAGCACCGGCUAACUACGUGCCAGCCGCCGCCGUAA
This 500-nucleotide ribosomal RNA is filed under the name uncultured bacterium. RNAcentral's name for it is "partial 16S ribosomal RNA". It matches the Rfam family "Bacterial small subunit ribosomal RNA", at positions 28 to 523 of the family's 1533-position model. The record is from RNAcentral.